AUUAGCAUGAACUUCAGAAGGGCUCUGAUCCACAGAGAGAAUAUUUCAGAUGACUGAAAUACACACAAAGGCUAACAAAGUAUAUUAAUCUAAGGAUUUACUGUUGCUAAUAAUUUUUAUAUUUUUGCUUUAACUCAGUGUUUCUGUCUACCUUGUGCCCCUGGAAUUCUCUCAUUUAUGUUGUAGACAUAGCAGGAACAAAACAUAGGAAGACAAUCAGACGCAUUUAUUUUUCAAGCCAAAAAGCAAACAGAGAGACCAGAGUAUUUCUAUUUAUGACUGCAUAAGCACAAAUAAAUAAUGCCAAUGUGACAAAACAAAACUUUGAAAAUUAUCCUUUCAGAAAUUGCCCAAAGUGGGCUCUUUAGCCAUCUGCUCGCCAGCACAAGAAAACCAACUCAAAGUCAAUUUAGGGCAGCAUCCUUGCCAAUAUAAGCGUAAUGUAUCUUCAGAUACAUAGCUUCCACCUCUUAGAAAACCCAAAAUCCAUGAAAAUUGUAUAAGAUU
This 507-nucleotide unclassified non-coding RNA is filed under the name Hevea brasiliensis (rubber tree). Lineage: Eukaryota; Viridiplantae; Streptophyta; Magnoliopsida; Malpighiales; Euphorbiaceae. The record is from RNAcentral.